Molecule: ribosomal RNA, 691 nt
Filed under: Klebsiella pneumoniae
Lineage: Bacteria; Pseudomonadati; Pseudomonadota; Gammaproteobacteria; Enterobacterales; Enterobacteriaceae
Description: partial 23S ribosomal RNA
Rfam family: Bacterial large subunit ribosomal RNA
Source: RNAcentral
CGGGGUUGCGGACAGUGUCUGGUGGGUAGUUUGACUGGGGCGGUCUCCUCCCAAAGAGUAACGGAGGAGCACGAAGGUUAGCUAAUCCUGGUCGGACAUCAGGAGGUUAGUGCAAUGGCAUAAGCUAGCUUGACUGCGAGCGUGACGGCGCGAGCAGGUGCGAAAGCAGGUCAUAGUGAUCCGGUGGUUCUGAAUGGAAGGGCCAUCGCUCAACGGAUAAAAGGUACUCCGGGGAUAACAGGCUGAUACCGCCCAAGAGUUCAUAUCGACGGCGGUGUUUGGCACCUCGAUGUCGGCUCAUCACAUCCUGGGGCUGAAGUAGGUCCCAAGGGUAUGGCUGUUCGCCAUUUAAAGUGGUACGCGAGCUGGGUUUAGAACGUCGUGAGACAGUUCGGUCCCUAUCUGCCGUGGGCGCUGGAGAAUUGAGGGGGGCUGCUCCUAGUACGAGAGGACCGGAGUGGACGCAUCACUGGUGUUCGGGUUGUCAUGCCAAUGGCAUUGCCCGGUAGCUAAAUGCGGAAGAGAUAAGUGCUGAAAGCAUCUAAGCACGAAACUUGCCCCGAGAUGAGUUCUCCCUGAGACUUUAAGUCUCCUGAAGGAACGUUGAAGACGACGACGUUGAUAGGCCGGGUGUGUAAGCGCAGCGAUGCGUUGAGCUAACCGGUACUAAUGAACCGUGAGGCUUAACCUU